Molecule: long non-coding RNA, 5305 nt
Filed under: Panax ginseng (ginseng)
Lineage: Eukaryota; Viridiplantae; Streptophyta; Magnoliopsida; Apiales; Araliaceae
Description: long non-coding RNA (PGIN_LNC016796)
Source: RNAcentral
GCAGGACCAGUGCUAGCUAGAACUGCAAGGGCCAUAAGGGAGGGCGUUGUAAAAGGCCGUGCUGUCCUGCAAAUAUUUUUCACCCUUACCAAAUUUUCCAGGAUGGCUGUCAACUACUUCAAAUCGCGAGCUAGAUCCAAAGUACAACCUACAUGGUGAGAGCAACAUUAGUAUAUAAUUUUUGUUUGGACAUAUGUGACACCAAGAUAAAAUAUUGUAGUAUACUUUUAUAUUUCCCAAUUUGCAAUGUUCUGGGCUGCUAGUAUGACUGUCAAAUAUGGGGUUAAGAGAACUGAAACAAACAAAUUGUUUUUCCUAAUUGUCAUUUGGUAUGUUUCAAUGCACAUGUUCUCUCUUCUUCUGGCAGAAGUAUUAAUAUAGUUUUUGCUCGCAUUAUGUGCUACAUAAUAUUCAGAUUGUUAUAUAAAGGAGUAAUGAGAGUAUCAGUGGUUUUCUUUAAAAACAGAGCUUACUUGAGAUCUCUUUGGAUGGCUAUGCAUUCUGCUGAAUGAAAUUUGCUCCUUAAAGUGAAUUUGUUAUCUUAAGACUUGUAGAUGCAUAGAUAAACUUAAAUUUUGUCUUGCCUGAUUUGAUCUAGGUCAGUGCAUCAUUUUCUAAGGGCCUAAUGGUCAUAUGUGUUUGCUGUAUACCAUUUUCUAUGUUACUCUGUAUGACAAGUUCACUUAGGAUAUCCGAAGUACAUAACACCUCUCAUGACCAUGCCUUUCUGUGGCAACAUUCAUUUUUUGCCUGAAUCACCUCCCCUUUUGAUCCCAAACCUGGCUCUACAGAAACAGUUGUCUUACCUCUAGUCUCUUUCUUUGCAAUUGCAUUGUGUUAUUUCCCUCUAGAGAGAAUCUGAAAGUGUAUAAUGACCAGUCUCACAAUCCUACUCGCUCAAAAUCCUAGGCCACGAGUGGCACUGCUCUCGUCUCGUAUAAUAGUUGUAUUGGAUAUUGUAGCUUAAGUUUAGACUUGACUAGGCAGAGUUUGAUGGUACAAAAUUACAUGUCAGAGAUUACUUAGAACACAAUUCAACACACUGUAGUAGUCAACAUUAGCUUUAUUCAUGGUUGAUGGAGUAUUGUCAAUUGGAAACUGAAAAAUUCACAACAAAAAAUGAUAUUUUCACAUGAAAACUGUCGCUAUAGAUCCUAUAGCAACGAUUUUCAUCGGCGCUAUACAUCUAUGGCGAUACUUUUUAUGUGAAAAUAUCAAAUAGUGUCGUAGAAAUUGGGCAUUAAUGCUUGCAUGUGCUUAGAAUUGUUGUUAAAUACUACUCCCUCCGUCCUUAAUUAUUUGACGUUUUAAGAUUUUUUAUUUGUCCUUAAUUAUUUGACGUUUGUUCAAAUAUAGGAGAAUUAAUAAUAUUUUUUUCAAAAUUACCUCUCAUUACUCUGCCUAUUUUUUUGAUAUUUUAAACUUUCUCUCCUUAUCCCAACAAAAGAUUUAAGGGUAUUAUAGACAAUUGAGGACUAUAUUUAAUCUGUGUCCACCUCUAAAACGUCAAAUAAUUAGAAACGGAAGGAGUACUACUAUAACUAUAAGAGACCAAAAGUCUCUUACUUGUCCGAAUUGUUAGUACAUGUAUUGGAGCAUAGGAAUCCCAAAAAUAUUAAAUGCUAGUUUGAAAAUGUGAAUUAAUUAGAUCUGACAAUAUAGUUGGUUAACUGUCGGGUCAAUUUAUAUUAAUUGGAACUAAAUGAGUUGGUUAACUAUUUUUAUUUCUUUGGGUUGGGUAAAGUUUGGAACCAUAUUUUAAAAAAGAAAUAUAAGUACAAUUCAGUUAACCAUUUUUCGACUCAUAUUUUAUUUCAAAUUCAAAUCAAAAGUUCUUUCCACCCAUAUUUACAUAUUCAAGAAGUUCAACCACCCACCUCAUCCAACCCAACCCAAAAAAUUAAUAUUAUAUAAUUAUGUAUACAUCCCUUACUUCCCACCCCAUCCCCCCUNNNNNNNNNNNNNNNNNNNNNNNNNNNNNNNNNNNNNNNNNNNNNNNNNNNNNNNNNNNNNNNNNNNNNNNNNNNNNNNNNNNNNNNNNNNNNNNNNNNNNNNNNNNNNNNNNNNNNNNNNNNNNNNNNNNNNNNNNNNNNNNNNNNNNNNNNNNNNNNNNNNNNNNNNNNNNNNNNNNNNNNNNNNNNNNNNNNNNNNNNNNNNNNNNNNNNNNNNNNNNNNNNNNNNNNNNNNNNNNNNNNNNNNNNNNNUGUAUAUAUAUAUAUAUAUAUAUAUAUAUAUAUAUAUAUUGAGUUUCUUUAUACUAUUUGCCAAGAAUGAAGCUUGAGCCGUUACAUUCAUGUUCUUUAACUCUUGUUUUGAUAAUUGCAGGAUUGCUCCUGAAUAAUUGCGGUUUGAUCCGUAUAGUUUUUGGUGAUAAAUGAUAAUAAUUUGAACCUCAAAUACCCUUUUUAAUUAAGUCACGUGCAGGGGCCACGUGACCUAUUCCGUCCGAUUUUAGAUGACAUCCACUAACAGGGAGGAGGUUUUUGUAAUAGACAGUAACUUUGAGAGAGAUUCAAGUCAUAAUAAUUGAGCUUCAGGGGAGGUUUUUAAAUGUCAAGAAUACUUUAGGGAAGGUAUUUUUGUCAUGAACCCUAUUUUUAACUAUAUUUUUGUGGUGAAUGAUUAUUAGUCAUUUGGAGGGAUCCUUUUAUUAGAUGGAGCGAGUAAUUUAACAAUUAAGGGGCUGUUUGAUUAUGCAUUAAAUGGUUGAAUCGGUUAGUCAUUCAGUGCGUUUGUUUUGAGGAAAAAAUCGUCUGAAUGGCUGAAUCAGUCAGCCAUUCAGAAGAAGAAGAUUUAGGCUGAAUGGUUUAGUAUCAUUUUUUUGGUUGAAUGGACUGCCGAAUGAAAUAUUUUUUUUUACAAUAUUAACUAUUAUAUUGAGUAAUAUUAAAUAAAUUUACAACAGUUUUAAAUUUUUUACGAGGGAUAAAAUAAUAAAAAUAUGUUAUUCAAAUAUUUUAAACAUGUCAAUUUUAAAACAAAUUUUUUAUUCAGUAUUCAAUAAAAAUUUUGAAUAUGUUAUUCAAUUUUUUCAAAUUUUUUAAAUUUUGAAUGCACUUUCAAAAUUAGUAUGAUUCAUAAAAAUUUUGAAUAAAAUAAAGAGUUGAAUACACUUUGUAUCAUCAAGUUUAUUCAAUUUUAUACAUUGCAUUCUAUACUUUAAAACGUGACACUUUGUAUCCCACAUUUUUAAUGAAUCGUCAUAUAACACCAUCCGGCCUAAAAUAUGUCGCUAAAAGUCAUAGUGUUAGUUUUUAAAAGUGACGUAGUUUGCAUUUUUAGUGAUCAAUUUUGGGUCAGAUUAUAAUAUGUUUUUUAACGGUAUGCAAAGUGUCAUGUUUUAAAAUAUAAGAGGCAAUAUACAAAAUGAGAUAAAUUUAAAAAUUCAAAAUACAUUUAACUCUAAAACAAAUUUUAUAAUUAAUAAAUUUUAUUAUAUAGUAUACAUUUAUAAUAAUUAUAUUAAUUAAAAUCAAAUAAAUUUCCGUCAAUUUAAAAUUUAAUAUAUCGUUAUUUUAUAAUUAUAUGUCUAAUUUUAAAAUAGUAAUGUCAAAGCACUAAGAUGUUAGUGGCACGUUUGUGCACGCCAUCCCAUACACAAAAGAAAAUAAUCUGAAAAGUUAUGUACCACGUGGAAGUCUGUCCAUAGGAUGGUAUGCCGUCUCUAUCUCAACAUAAAUACGGAACGAUAUUAUAUUAGACAGCAGAUCAUAUGUUGCUAUUUUUUUCGGGUUGAGCGGGGGUACGGUACCCUUAACGACCGGUGCAUCCCUUCUUUUCUUUUUUUUUUUUUUUAAAAUUAUAAUUAUGAGAAAAAAAAUAAAAAAUAAUAGAGUAAAUUUGAACAAAAAAUUGUAAAAAGAAAUAUAUUUUUUAUUGAAAAAACACUGUAAACAAUUUACAGUAUUUUUUUAAUAAAAAAUAUACUUCUUUUUACAAUUUUUUAUUCAAACUUGCUCUAUUAUUUUUUAUUUUUUUUUCUCAUAAUUAUAAUAAAAAAGCCAAAAAAAAAAAAAAAAUUAACACUUCGUACCGGACGUUAGUCCGGUAUAUUUGCACCGACCGCCCCCCAAUUCAUUUUUUUCUAUACCUUUAUGUUUUCUUACUUAAAUUUUAAUAUCUAACUUCUUAUUUAAUUUUAAAAUUAAUUAAUAUUAAAUAAAAAGUCAAGUGUCAAAAUUUAAAUAGAGAACACAAGAGAACAAAAAAAUAAAAAUUAAUGAUUUGCUCUCGAUAUUAUUAUCACAUAUGCAUAUUGUGAAUCUUCGUCUAACCUUACACCACAAAUAUAUAUAUAUAUAUAUAUAUAUGAAUUUUUUAUAUGUGAUAGUACCAAUUAUUUAUAAAUACGUGAGUGCAACAGCUGAAUAUUUAAUUUAAACCAAAGAAUAUGAAAAACUGAUAUAUUUGCGCCAUCAAAUAAGUAAGUCCACUCCACAGCAAGAUUAAAAAUUACUCCUUUUUAAAUUAUAUGAUUACUAGUAAUUAAUAUAUAUAUCCCACCUUUAAUUAAUAUAUAUAUAUAUAUAUAUAUAUAUAACCUUCUUAAUUAGUAACAUUAAUUAAGCUGAUAGACAGACAUACAGAUGCAGUUUAUCCGGCCAGAUCGAUCUAACGAAGAGUAGUUUAGAUCUGACGGUUAUUGGUCUGGGGGCCUCUGCCGGAGGUAACAGGUUUUCUUGGUGGCUUUCUGAAUGCCGUUUUGGUUGCUACUGAUCUACUUGUCACCAUAAAUGUUGCCUCCUGCAUGCAGCCAGCCAAAUUAAAUUAAUUAAUGAGUAUUUGAAUAUAUAUAUAUAUAUAUAUAUAUAUAUAUAUAUAUAUAUAUAUGGGAUAUAGAGAGAUGAAACAGAGGAGAGAGAGAGAGAGAUACAGUAGUGGAGUGUGUGGUUUCUCCUCCUAAUUGUGUUUGAGUAGGAGAAUUAUCUGCAGGUGAUUGGUGUUUAUAAGUAGUACUUUCUGAUGUGAAGCCCAGGCGCCUUAGCAUAGAUUUAAUUACUUCUUGUAGGAAAUUCCAGGGAGUUUUGUAAGAGUAGUAGUAUACUACUACUUCACUACUCUCCCUCAUCACCUCUCCUGAACAUCUAAUCUCCAUUAUUUAUUUCUUCUUCUUCUCUGUCUCUUUCUCAAUGGAUUUAUUUAUACUCUCAAAGGUCAAAAGAGGAAGAGGAAGAGGAAGAGGGCGAGGAGGAGACGGGGGUAUAUAUGGUAACUAUGUAAGUUGGAGUCUCAUUUACUAAGGAUAAAUUAAUCACUUUUUUAUAAAUGAGUGUGCCACUAUAUAUUAAUUUAAGGUGUCCAGUUG